Molecule: long non-coding RNA, 287 nt
Filed under: Panax ginseng (ginseng)
Lineage: Eukaryota; Viridiplantae; Streptophyta; Magnoliopsida; Apiales; Araliaceae
Description: long non-coding RNA (PGIN_LNC008936)
Source: RNAcentral
AGGAAUUUUACCCCAUCUUCCUAACCUCAAUCUUGUUCCUCCAAAGCUUUAUCCUAUCAAAGUGUUCUACAAAAGAAUCCGAUCAUUGAACUCUUCCUGUAUAGGGCCUGUAUAAGCUUGAAUUUUAGACUUUAUAGGACUUAAACCUCUAGUAGGUAUGCAGUUGAAGGAAAGGCGCAGUAGCGGAAGCGUCAAGGGGAGACGAAGUCUCAAAUACCAGAGCAAGUAAAUAGCGGGCAAAGGGAAGAGAAGCGGAGCGCGAGCACUCGUUACUAAGUAAAUGAAUC